RNAcentral lists this ribosomal RNA (426 nucleotides) under uncultured bacterium. Its description in RNAcentral is "partial 16S ribosomal RNA". It matches the Rfam family "Bacterial small subunit ribosomal RNA", at positions 354 to 796 of the family's 1533-position model. The record is from RNAcentral.
GUGAGGAAUUUUCCGCAAUGGGCGAAAGCCUGACGGAGCAAUGCCGCGUGAAGGAUGAAGGCCUAUGGGUUGUAAACUUCUUUUCUCAGAAAAGAAUUAUGACGGUAUCUGAGGAAUAAGCAUCGGCUAACUCUGUGCCAGCAGCCGCGGUAAGACAGAGGAUGCAAGCGUUAUCCGGAAUGAUUGGGCGUGAAGCGUCUGUAGGUUGUUUAAAAAGUAUUCUGUCAAAGAUUAGGGCUUAACCCUAGAUAGGCAGAAUAAACUUUUAAGCUAGAGUUUGGUAGAGGCAGAGGGAAUUCCCGGUGGAGCGGUGAAAUGCGUAGAUAUCGGGAGGAACACCAAAGGCGAAGGCACUCUGCUGGGCCAAUACUAACACUGAGAGACGAAAGCGAGGGGAGCAAAUGGGAUUAGAAACCCCGGUAGUCC